GAAAUAAACAAUGGAUACCAUAUUUUAACUCCUUGAAGCCUCAUAACUCCAUAGAAACUGAAAUGGGUGCAAUCUGAGGUUUUUAGGUUCAUCAGUGGAUUUCGGUCAAAACCCACUGAUGAACCUAAAGACCUUAGAUUGUGCCAAUUUCAAGUCUUAUGGAUUUAUGAGAUUCCAAGGAAUCGAAUGGUGCCACCCAUUGCAUAUUUUGACUUGUUCGAAAAGGUUAAAAUGUUAUAGAAAAAAUAGCUAAAACAACCCAAUGUGGGGCUGAUAUGGUUCCAUAUCAGACCCAUAUUAGGCUUGAUUUAUCUCAUGGUGGAGAUUGUCUUUUAAUAAUUCUUGUUUUCUUUUGAGUUUGGUUGAAAUUGUUAUACCAUAUUUUGUCAACUUUAAUAGAUAUGAUGUAACAGAGGUUUAAUGGGGAGUCAAGUAAAUAUUCGUACCAAGAAAAGAUGCAAUUCCUGCUCCAAUUGCUAGUAUUUUUGAGGAACCAAUCGUGGAAUAGAAUGCUAAAAAGGUGAUUGUAAUGCGCAUUCCGUUUGAAGCUCCUCCAAAGGGACUGGAUCAAAUUUCCGAAGAGCACCAUCAUAAGUGGUAGAGAAACUCCAUUCCCCGCGGCACCAAGCGAACCCAACAACAUCAAGACGUAAUUUCUGAAGUCUGUAAAGGAGAACAAUUUGUACAAGGGCACUGUGAGCGUGCUCUAAUUUUGUUUCUUGUCCUUCCAACUCUCUCGCUUGUUUUGUUGCUCCCCAUUAAACUUCUGUUACAUUAUAUUGAUUAAAGUUGACAAAAUAUGGUAUAACAAUCGCAACCAAACUCAAAAGAAAACAAAAAUUAUCUAAAUGACAAUCUCUACCAUGAGAUAAAUCAGGCCCAACGUGGGCCUGAUGUGAACCAUAUCAGGCCCAUCGUUCAUAUCAGGUCGACAUUGGGUUGUUUUAGUUGAUUCUUUUGACCAUAUUUUAACACCUUUGGAGAAGUCGAAAUAUGUGAUGGAUGACACCGUUGGACUCCUUGCAGCCUCACAAUUCUACAGGACCUGAAAUGAGUCCAAUUCGAGCAAAAAUCCACUGAUGGACCUAGAGACCUCGGAUUGGACUCAUUUCAGGUCCUGUAGAUUUCUGAGGUUGCAAGGAGUCCAACGGUGCCGCCCAUCGCAUAUUUCGAUUUCUCCAAAGGUAUUAAAAUGUUAUAAAAAAAACACGUUAAACUCUAUCAGGCCCAUAUUAUGCUUUGCAUGCAUGCAUAUCUCCUAAAGAGUGAGGAAAGAGAAGAUGGGAGGAAAGAGAAGAGAGGAUGCGCACAUUGCAGAGAGGGAAGAGAAAAGAAAUUGCAUGCAUAAAAAAGAGGAAAGAGAUUGACAAAUGAUUGAGGGUAGAACGGGAAGAAUAGAAAAUUAAGUACGCUAUUUGGUAAAUAUCAAAAUAUAGUAUGCCUUUUGGUCAAUUCAUAAAUCUAAGUGCGCCUUUUGGUAAAUUGCCGAAAAAUUAUUCUAUAUUUAGCCUAUGAAUAAAUUUAUUUGACUAUAAUUAUUGAACUCUAUUUACUUCAUGUGAAUCAAAUACUUCUCUAUUUAAUUCUCCUUAUGUGCAUCUAAAUUGCAUGAAGAAUAAAUUUUUAAUGAGUGUACCAUGAAUAAACUUUACCUAUCUUCUUUUCCUUAUUCUUUUAUUCAUUCUACUUGAGGGGGAAUAAUCACUAAUCAUGUGUCCAGAAUAUUUGUUUUAUUCUUGACUUUUUUCUGAGUAAGUUUAAAAGGUGCCUUAUCCUGUAAUGUUUUGUACGCUAUAUAUGUUAUGAUAUGCUAUGCUUUACAGGUUGCCUAUGACUCCCUACCUGUUAUAUGAUGAUGUAUGUCUUAACUAGGCAAUGAUCAACGGUUUGGCUGCAUGUUUUUUUUUGUCCUAUUGAAGUCUAUUUUUGACAAUACGCAUAGUUAAAACCCAGAGAGUUUGGGAAAAUCUAAAGAGGCUUUGGAAUUUGAUACUUGCUUCACUGAGCAGGUUAUGUUGUGGGCUAUAAUUUAAUAAAUUAGUGUGAAGACAAGAUGCAUCGUAAUUUAAAAAUUGCACUAUUACUCUUUUACCUUUCUCUUUUCUUCAUCUUCUCUCUUCUGGGAAUAACAUAAACAUAAGAUAAAAUGGGUUGUUAGAACCAUGGUAUACAGUUUCCAGCCAUGCUGGUUGGCAUUGGCCGUUUCAACCACCGACCAACAUUGCACCGAUUUAUGGCUCAUGGUAGCUUCGCUAAACCCUACAGUUGCGUGCAGGACUCCACGAGGUCUGCAGGUUUUUUUUAAAUAUUUAUUAUUUUAUUUUUUAAAAUAUUAAUUGUUUUCCUAUCCAAUUCCUUUACAUCUCUUUUUUUUUCCCUUCUGUUAUUUUUUUUCCCUGGUACAUCGCUAUAUUUUUUUUCCUUCCUUCUGGCCUCCUAUAUCGUUAAUUUUUUCCCCUCCUAUAUCGUUAACUUUUUUCCUUCCUUCAUCCGUCCAGGAGGAAAAUAAGAAAAACAAAAAGCUCUUGAAAGAAGGUUAAUUUUUUCCCCUAUCUAUCUGGUCAUGUGGUAAACAAAGAAAAAAUCCAGAUUCUUUAAAAAAAUAAAAAAUUAUAUAUAAUAUAAUUUUUAAUCUUAUAAAAUAUAUACUAUGAAUUAAAUUAUUGUAUAUAUAAAUUUGAUUUAAUUUUAAACUAAUCAAAAUAAAUUUAAAUUAAAUCUAGUUUAAACCUACUUAAUCCUUCCAUGUCUAUGACAAUCAAAUAUUAAUAAAAAUAUUUUUAAUUGACAUAUUUAUAUUUAAAAAUCAGGGGAGCCUUGGCGUAACGAUAAAGUUGUUGCCAUGUGACCAAAAGGUCACGGGUUCGAAUCCUGGAAACAACUUCUUGCAAAAAUCAGGAUAAGACUACGUACAAUGGAUCCUUCCCCGGGACCCUACAUGACGGGAGCUUCGUGCACCGGGCUGCCUUUUUUUUUAUAUUUAUAUU
Zingiber officinale is the source of this 2987-nucleotide long non-coding RNA. RefSeq lists it as uncharacterized. Lineage: Eukaryota; Viridiplantae; Streptophyta; Magnoliopsida; Zingiberales; Zingiberaceae. The record is from RefSeq and is a predicted model, not a curated record. The transcript has 2 exons.